GAGUUUGGUGAUUAAAAGCAAAGAGAAGUGAAGUUACCAUUGAAGCAAAGGUUGGAGAACCAUCCUCAAAGGGUAAAGAGAAAGCCAAGCAGUAAGGCUUUCCAAGCUUAUUCAAGCUUGUUAAUAAGCACCACUGAGUCUUCCACUCAGCGCGUUGAUUUUUAUCACGCGCAAGUUAGGAGCGGAGGGUGUUCUUCAAGACCA
Molecule: non-coding RNA, 204 nt
Organism: Jatropha curcas
Lineage: Eukaryota; Viridiplantae; Streptophyta; Magnoliopsida; Malpighiales; Euphorbiaceae
Source: RefSeq, a predicted model, not a curated record